UAAUACGGAGGAUCCAAGCGUUAUCCGGAUUUAUUGGGUUUAAAGGGUGCGUAGGCGGAUCUUUAAGUCAGUGGUGAAAGUUUGCGGCUCAACCGUAAAAUUGCCAUUGAAACUGAAGAUCUUGAGUGCAAAUGAGGUAGGCGGAAUGUGUUGUGUAGCGGUGAAAUGCUUAGAUAUAACACAGAACCCCGAUUGCGAAGGCAGCUUACUGGGAUGCAACUGACGCUGAGGCACGAAAGCGUGGGGAUCAAACAGGAUUAGAUACCCUGGUAGUCCACGCAGUAAACGAUGAAUACUAGCUGUAUGCGAUAUACUGUAUGUGGCAAAGCGAAAGCGUUAAGUAUUCCACCUGGGGAGUACGUUCGCAAGAAUGAAACUCAAAGGAAUUGACGG
This 393-nucleotide ribosomal RNA is filed under the name bacterium enrichment culture. Its description in RNAcentral is "bacterial SSU rRNA". It matches the Rfam family "Bacterial small subunit ribosomal RNA", at positions 521 to 916 of the family's 1533-position model. The record is from RNAcentral.